GAAAACAGCAACUGGCACUUCGGCAUCUUGUUAAUAGGUUAGUUCCAGAAAAUGCACGAAUAUGAUAUAAAGUGUGCAUAAAACAUGUAGAUAUCAUCAAUAAUGUGGCAUGGAACAUAAGAAAUUAUCGAUACGUCGAAGACGUAUCACUGACCCACCGAUGCCUCUUCUUAUCCAUUUUAAUAUUAACAUUAGGGUGAGCCAUGAAUAUC
Lolium perenne is the source of this 212-nucleotide non-coding RNA. NCBI's taxonomy places the organism in Eukaryota, Viridiplantae, Streptophyta, Magnoliopsida, Poales, Poaceae. The record is from RefSeq and is a predicted model, not a curated record.